RNAcentral lists this long non-coding RNA (519 nucleotides) under Brassica napus (rape). Its description in RNAcentral is "long non-coding RNA (BNAP_LNC020120)". Lineage: Eukaryota; Viridiplantae; Streptophyta; Magnoliopsida; Brassicales; Brassicaceae. The record is from RNAcentral.
CCCAUGGGCUCCAUCCUAUGAGACAGGCGGUGUGUUAACUUUUCGAUGCCUCGAAAGACUUGUUUAUUGACCCUGCAAUCACCACAUGACAUUUUCAUAUGAUUUUUGAUUUCACUCGCACGAUAUUGCAAAUCACUUCCUGAUAGGUCACCCAUCCUUCUACUAUUCCAUUUCAAGCAUGCUUAACUCUGGAGUUCUAAACGGAUGUGUGUCCGAAAAAGAAAACGCACUUUGGUGACAUAGAUAACCAAAUUAAUUAUCAAAAGCUUUUUCUAGAUAUACCAGAAAUUGGGAUGUUACAAUUCACCACACUCACAGAGCACAAUGCCCUCAUUGUGCACCACGAUAUGUCUGAAGAUGCCUCUCGGCCGCGAUGACUAACCAGCUCUGAUACUACUUGUAAUACUCUGACCUUCCACGGCUAAUGGGUCUCCCAUACCCGCUCACUCGGCCCGUGGACCCCAUCUUGUGCGCCAGGCGGUGCAUUAACUAUUAGAGGCUUGAAAGACUUGUUUACUG